This 450-nucleotide ribosomal RNA is filed under the name uncultured bacterium. RNAcentral's name for it is "partial 16S ribosomal RNA". It matches the Rfam family "Bacterial small subunit ribosomal RNA", at positions 354 to 796 of the family's 1533-position model. The record is from RNAcentral.
GUGGGGAAUUUUGGACAAUGGGCGCAAGCCUGAUCCAGCCAUUCCGCGUGCAGGAUGAAGGCCUUCGGGUUGUAAACUGCUUUUGUACGGAACGAAAAGCCUCUGGUUAAUACCCGGGGGUCAUGACGGUACCGUAAGAAUAAGCACCGGCUAACUACGUGCCAGCAGCCGCGGUAAUACGUAGGGUGCGAGCGUUAAUCGGAAUUACUGGGCGUAAAGCGUGCGCAGGCGGUGAUGUAAGACAGUUGUGAAAUCCCCGGGCUCAACCUGGGAACUGCAUCUGUGACUGCAUUGCUGGAGGGCGGCAGAGGGGGAUGGAAGUCCGCGUGUAGCAGUGAAAUGCGUAGAUAUGCGGAGGAACACCGAUGGCGAAGGCAAUCCCCUGGGCCUGCACUGACGCUCAUGCACGAAAGCGUGGGGAGCAAACAGGAUUAGAAACCCGAGUAGUCC